GAUGAACGCUGGCGGCGUGCCUAAUACAUGCAAGUCGAGCGAACAGACGAGGAGCUUGCUCCUCUGACGUUAGCGGCGGACGGGUGAGUAACACGUGGAUAACCUACCUAUAAGACUGGGAUAACUUCGGGAAACCGGAGCUAAUACCGGAUAAUAUAUUGAACCGCAUGGUUCAAUAGUGAAAGACGGUUUUGCUGUCACUUAUAGAUGGAUCCGCGCCGCAUUAGCUAGUUGGUAAGGUAACGGCUUACCAAGGCAACGAUGCGUAGCCGACCUGAGAGGGUGAUCGGCCACCCUGGAACUGAGACACGGUCCAGACUCCUACGGGAGGCAGCAGUAGGGAAUCUUCCGCAAUGGGCGAAAGCCUGAUGGAGCAACGCCGAGUGAGUGAUGAAGGUCUUCGGAUCGUAAAACUCUGUUAUUAGGGAAGAACAAAUGUGUAAGUAACUAUGCACGUCUUGACGGUACCUAAUCAGAAAGCCACGGCUAACUACGUG
RNAcentral lists this ribosomal RNA (497 nucleotides) under uncultured bacterium. Its description in RNAcentral is "partial 16S ribosomal RNA". It matches the Rfam family "Bacterial small subunit ribosomal RNA", at positions 28 to 507 of the family's 1533-position model. The record is from RNAcentral.